Pungitius pungitius (ninespine stickleback) is the source of this 252-nucleotide long non-coding RNA. RefSeq lists it as uncharacterized. The record is from RefSeq and is a predicted model, not a curated record. Lineage: Eukaryota; Metazoa; Chordata; Actinopteri; Perciformes; Gasterosteidae. The transcript has 3 exons.
AUAUGUACAUCGGCAGAAGAUUCUGAAAAAGAAAACGGACAAUCAGCUGUGCGCCAGCUCAGAGGAGCUCUUCAUGACAGCGGCGAGGAAGCGUAUCCCGGAGCUGAUGGAACAACUUCCGAAUGAUGGGCCAGAGCAUUCGCUCCUGGCGGAAUACGCGCUUGGCUUCCUCGCCGUCCUCACCGGCCAUCGCUCCGUCGCCAUCGUAAAUAUGACGGCGGCCCAGGUCUUGGCGGCGGAGCGGUCCAAGGA